Molecule: ribosomal RNA, 484 nt
Filed under: uncultured bacterium
Lineage: Bacteria
Description: partial 16S ribosomal RNA
Rfam family: Bacterial small subunit ribosomal RNA
Source: RNAcentral
GACGAACGCUGGCGGCGUGCUUAACACAUGCAAGUCGAACGAUGAAGCCGGAGCUUGCUCUGGCGAAUUAGUGGCGAACGGGUGAGUAACACGUGAGUAACCUGCCCUUGACUCUGGGAUAACUGCGGGAAACUGUAGCUAAUACCGGAUACGACCCUCGGAGGCAUCUCCUGGGGGUGGAAAGAAUUUCGGUCAAGGAUGGACUCGCGGCCUAUCAGCUAGUUGGUGAGGUAAAGGCUCACCAAGGCGACGACGGGUAGCCGGCCUGAGAGGGUGACCGGCCACACUGGGACUGAGACACGGCCCAGACUCCUACGGGAGGCAGCAGUGGGGAAUAAUGCACAAUGGGCGCAAGCCUGAUGCAGCAACGCCGCGUGAGGGAUGACGGCCUUCGGGUUGUAAACCUCUUUUAGCAGGGAAGAAGCGAAAGUGACGGUACCUGCAGAAAAAGCACCGGCUAACUACGUGCCAGCCGCCGCCGUAA